ACAAUGUACAGGUUCAGUUCAGUUGCAGAAAUUCCACCUCAAGAAAACUUUGGGACAUAUAAAUGGGAGUAUUUCAGCAGCCCCAUUUAGCUUGAAAGACAGCAAAGGCUGUGCUCUGGGUGGGGGCUGUGCAGGAUAACCAGGAAGAGGACAAGUCGCAGUGAUUCUCACCAUUUCAGCUCCUGAAGAAUUCACUAACCGCGAGAUGACCCCUGCGUGCACUGAGAUACACAAGGGUGAGAGAGACGGAAAUCUCAGCUGCCCCAUCCUCAGACGUUCUCAUGGGACACAACGGAUUGUCUUCAAGGAAACAGGAGCAAUAUUCAGGUUGGCCCGUCAUUGAUGAAUUCAUAUGUCACAAGCAACAUUAAUUCUUCUGAACCUGGGAAGCUUUCAUUUGAAGCAGCUGACCUUUCACUUCAGCAUACCUGCAGCAAGCUCUAGAAUGUCUGGGCCUGCCACGUGCAAAGCUACUUAC
Molecule: long non-coding RNA, 478 nt
Organism: Coturnix japonica (Japanese quail)
Lineage: Eukaryota; Metazoa; Chordata; Aves; Galliformes; Phasianidae
Source: RefSeq, a predicted model, not a curated record